CCAGGAGGGCUCCCGGGAGGUGUGUGACACGCACAGACCCCUGCCUCACUUCUCAGCGGCAGGGGCGGCAAGUCUCACUCCCCAAGCCCCGCCGCGUGAGCAGGAGGAGGACUGGGCUUAGGAAGAGAGGCCGCGGUGGAAACUGGAAAUAGGACAGACCCUCAAGGGAGCAUCAAGGCGCGGCUCACGGAGGCCGGAAGUCCGCGCCAGGCCCCGGAGGGCGCUUGAGCGAGAAGCGGAAGCUAGUCCACCGAAACCUUGGGUCCAUCUGAGACUCAGGGGACCCACGCACUUAGAAGGCCCCUUGGUGUCUGUGCCGGGAGCCGGAGCUGGGGGGCUUCUCUCUCUCCCUUGCCCCUCCCCACGAGUGCGCUGCGGGCACACGUGAUCCUCCGUGGCAUCCCGGAGUCUUUCCGAAAGUCAUAGAGGGCAUUUGGAGAAAACUGAAUACGGACGCUGCAUCAGAAAAUAGUGGAUUAUGCCAGCGUCGACCUGCGAACCCACAGCUGCCAGCAGGAGCCAGAGAGGAAAGUAUGGAUACCCAAGCAUGUCUGUGCCUCUGGCACAUCAGGAGCCUUCUAGAAAACUAGAGACACCUCUGGAGAAAAUGACUGGGGAGUCCCUACAUUAACAGAGAUUGAGUUCCUGCUACUCUGUAGAAAUAAGAAUGAAGUAGUUAACAUUUCCUGGACAACUAUAUUUGUAUCCUGACAUUUAUAUUCACUAUUUCAGAAUUUGAUUUUUUUAAAUGAGAAUAUAAGCAUGUAUUAUUUAUGUAAAUUAAAAAUGACUUUGGGGUGC
Suricata suricatta (meerkat) is the source of this 801-nucleotide long non-coding RNA. RefSeq lists it as uncharacterized. NCBI's taxonomy places the organism in Eukaryota, Metazoa, Chordata, Mammalia, Carnivora, Herpestidae. The record is from RefSeq and is a predicted model, not a curated record. The transcript is spliced from 2 exons.